GGCCGAGUGGUUUAAGGCAGCAGUCUUGAAAACUGCCGUAGGUGAAAGCCUAGCGUGGGUUCGACAAGGCGGCGCAGCCGCCGCAGGAC
Molecule: transfer RNA, 89 nt
Filed under: Bacillus sp. NP157
Lineage: Bacteria; Bacillati; Bacillota; Bacilli; Caryophanales; Bacillaceae
Description: tRNA-Ser
Source: RNAcentral